RNAcentral lists this ribosomal RNA (465 nucleotides) under uncultured bacterium. RNAcentral's name for it is "partial 16S ribosomal RNA". It matches the Rfam family "Bacterial small subunit ribosomal RNA", at positions 338 to 795 of the family's 1533-position model. The record is from RNAcentral.
CCUACGGGAGGCAGCAGUGGGGAAUUUUGGACAAUGGGCGCAAGCCUGAUCCAGCUAUUCCGCGUGUGGGAUGACGGCCUUCGGGUUGUAAACCACUUUUGUAGAGAACGUAAAGUCUGUUGAUAAUACCGAUAGAUGAUGACGGUACUCUUAGAAUAAGCACCGGCUAACUACGUGCCAGCAGCCGCGGUAAUACGUAGGGUGCGAGCGUUAAUCGGAUUUACUGGGCGUAAAGGGUGUGCAGGCGGUUUUGCAAGAUGGAUGUGAAAGCCCCGGGCUUAACCUGGGAAAGCCAUACAUGACUGCAAGACUAGAGUGCGUCAGAGGGGGGUGGAAUUCCAGGUGUAGCAGUGAAAUGCGUAGAUAUUUGGAAGAACACCGAUGGCGAAGGCAGCCCCCUGGAACGCAACUGACACUCAUACACGAAAGCGUGGGGAGCAAACAGGAUUAGAUACCCUAGUAGUC